RNAcentral lists this transfer RNA (69 nucleotides) under Muribaculaceae bacterium. RNAcentral describes it as "tRNA-OTHER". Lineage: Bacteria; Pseudomonadati; Bacteroidota; Bacteroidia; Bacteroidales; Muribaculaceae. The record is from RNAcentral.
AGCUCAGUUGGUUAGAGCACCUGACUGUUAAUCCCAAAAGGAGAGAUUGUCGUUGGUUCAAGCCCAUCA